GAGUUUGAUCUUGGCUCAGAUUGAACGCUGGCGGCAGGCCUAACACAUGCAAGUCGAGCGGAUGACGGGAGCUUGCUCCUUGAUUCAGCGGCGGACGGGUGAGUAAUGCCUAGGAAUCUGCCUGGUAGUGGGGGACAACGUUUCGAAAGGAACGCUAAUACCGCAUACGUCCUACGGGAGAAAGCAGGGGACCUUCGGGCCUUGCGCUAUCAGAUGAGCCUAGGUCGGAUUAGCUAGUUGGUGGGGUAAUGGCUCACCAAGGCGACGAUCCGUAACUGGUCUGAGAGGAUGAUCAGUCACACUGGAACUGAGACACGGUCCAGACUCCUACGGGAGGCAGCAGUGGGGAAUAUUGGACAAUGGGCGAAAGCCUGAUCCAGCCAUGCCGCGUGUGAGAA
RNAcentral lists this ribosomal RNA (398 nucleotides) under bacterium enrichment culture clone ALO1_GLFRUDD03GAHOB. Its description in RNAcentral is "bacterial SSU rRNA". It matches the Rfam family "Bacterial small subunit ribosomal RNA", at positions 9 to 409 of the family's 1533-position model. The record is from RNAcentral.